GUUGGAUCUUCGGAAGCAACGCAACGGAAAUCCAAUUCCUACUCAACGACAAACAUUCCACUUCUGCAGUUUGCCGUUUUGAGCUGCUGAGUUUUGUGGGGGCUGCUUACAUGCAUCCCAUCCACGAUGCCGCACUGGAGCGAAGUUCGUUGCCCCUGUAAACCAACCCGACACCUAGAAAAAAGGCGAAAGAUGAUCGGAGCAAGACAAAGGAAUGACUGAGCAGUAUGAUAGAGGCCGCGUACUUAUUGCGAGCCCUCCAUUUUCUGCUACAUAGUCGCUAAUCUAUCGUCGUUUCCGCUAUUAUCGCAUCGAAGCAUCAACGCCUGCUCCACUCUGCUGCUCACCAUUAUCUACUACGUGCGCCGGUAUGCACCUCAUCUCGCCUCUACUAUACACAUGUAUUUGCGGAUGUCAUGUGUGGCGGUAUGCACAGAUCUGCCUCUAGUGGACCUCUACAGUAUUACUCUGAGCACAGAUAUAUAACCUGUGCUGGUAGAAGAUUAGGAUCGUGAUAACCCAGUGUUGAGGAGCUUCGACUCAGGAGCUCUGUAGGGUUUAGGGUUGGGUAUGAAGAUUCAUGCCACCGUUUUGGCAGAUGUAUUGCUUGCCAACCUUUGGAUGAUCGGUGAUUUUGUGGAAUAUUGAAAUAGCUCAUACCGCCAGAUUGUGUCAGUUCGGGGCCAUCGUUCGAGAAUCGGUUUCCUCAUGUGGCAGCCACGGAGCAGAUAUUGAUGAAGUACGACCUCCGCACAGUCGUCGGUUUCAGAAUAGGACUACGCUGCACUGUGACCGGUUCACGAAUGUUUGGCAGGGUGGUUGUCCUUGGUAGCGGUUAGAUUUAGUAGUUUGGGUCAAGGGGAUGCAGUGAGUGAAUGCGUAGCAUCGCUAUCAGAUCUCGUUCACACACAUACACAGGCUGUGUCACAAUUCGUCUGUCCUGGUGUUUUGGUGUUGCGUGUUAAACGCAUGUGGAGGCUGAUCCUGUCUGAAUUUUGUGCUGGUGUUGGUGCUUUCACCGGCCACAGUGAAUACUUCCUAGUAAAUCUGCUCUCGAUACGAUAAGCCUGAUAUUGUAGGCAUCUUCCGGCUUUUCAUCAUCGACACUGCCGCCGUGGGGACUUGACACGGCCAGGUUAUAAUCCUGAGGAUACAUUCCACUGGAUCAAGCCUGCCAGGAAAAUCCAAGAAUUCAUGAUCGUUUCUCGCAUGAACUGAGGUGAUGGUCAAGCUUGUCGUACCGGAUCCUUCCACAUCAACGGUACCGAUGCAUGAUUCAUAACUGUCACUCAAGGGAGUUCUGAUUAAGGAUUACAAACUCUCCUUGCAGACGAGGAAACGAAAGAAUAGACUUGAUUCGAUUGGGCUAUUCUUCGGGAGAUAUGAUAUUGUUUCAGAUGUUGAGCCUACAUGCGACUCGUACGAGAAAUGUAGCUUGAACUGCAGAUGAGUAUUGAACUUUCUAUAAUUGAGCUUCGGACCAGGCUGCUUCCUCUCGGGAAGUUGCAUGUUGGUGCUGUUGUAAAGAUGCCGCCACGUAAUAGUUGAAGCAUGAGUAGCCAGCGACAGUAGAAGUAUGCGGUUCAGAGGGGAUUCAUUCGUGGGAAAUGGCGUUUGGACAGAAUUUCAAUUUUUUUUGCUUCCUCUAAUUGAACCUCCAAACCAAGCCUUAUUCCCCGCAGCUAUGAUGGUGCGAUGAACAAGGUCAUUGGUGCUUGAUUAAUUGUGUUGCAUAACCUAAAUAUGACUUUGACUAUUGGAUCGAUGCCGUGAGCUGGGCGCUGUCCAAUCAAAGUGAACUGAUGCAGAGUUGAAUGAUGACACCACCGACUACACGCGCCUUCUUUAGUGAUCAGAUUUUCCGGUCCAAUCUAGGGAAUCUCUCGAAGCAACACUAAGCUCUGUUGUGAGAAAUGCUGUGUGGAUUCAAUUCCUAGCUUGUCGCGAAGCUUCAGACCAGGAUAUAUUCCUUUCCUCCAAGGUGCAUGUUUUUACCCCUAAUAACAAGACUCUUGUUAUUCUCAUGAGCAGGACCGUGGGCUGCGCAGAUCAUUUGGAGUAAAUUUGUGAAGCUGAAUGAAACGUUUUCGUGGGGAAUGACGUGUGGCCCGUAGCCAUGUAUCUUGGCAUGCCAGAAUUAUGCUCCGGACCAGGCUUCAUUCCCCUCGGCAACGUUGCAUGAUGGUAAUUAUGUUCACGAGGCAUUCUAUCUUUGUUUUGUCAGAUAGACGCCCUGUUUGAGAGAAUUAUGUUGAUGGAAGAGUACCUGGAUAAUGUUUCGGUGGCCAUGCCGCAUGGCUCAACACUUGUGCCUUGGCCCGAGUCUCCAAUCAAGGCUAUCUUUUCUUCCACCUUGACAGUCGAGGAAGAUGGACCCGAGUGCUGCAGAAUAGAAAAUCCAUGCUCAAACUCCGUAAGUGAAGAUGAAGUCUUGCUAAAUUCAGUUGUCCCUACCCUGACCCAAGCAACAUUUCUUAGAUCUGAAGGGCGUGGUUUGAGAACUGAGUAGUGAAUUGUCACAUUGUUUACAACGAUGUUCUUGAUCUUAAUACUAUACCCUGUUAUAAGAUACACCGAUCGUCUUUACUCCAGUUUAUAGUUGGUUGUAAGUUCAUCUCCGUGUUAUUGUGACCCAGCAUAUCCACUAACCUAGUCCGAUUGAAAUUUGCAGAACAGCCGAUGUACUUUCACUGUCGGCAUAAUGAUUUUCAUUUCAUUAAAUGCUCUGCGUCAGAAUGUGUUUGGGAUAUAGACCGUCACAGGUUUUUCAAAUUUCCGUUAUAGUGCAUGCUGGUGUUCAAGACACUUUUUUAUGAGGGACCAUGAAUAGCAGGCUUAAACAGUGUGCAAUGUAAACAAGACGACUUACCAGUUUAACUCAAUCACUCCGAGGAUAUCAACUUAAUAGUGCUCAACUUUGAGUAGAAUUUAUUUCAUAUUGUACUUCUGGUGGACACUGUAGCCGCUGUGCCUUGAACAGUUCAAUUAAAUUUACUAACACUGACAAA
Molecule: non-coding RNA, 3008 nt
Organism: Physcomitrium patens
Lineage: Eukaryota; Viridiplantae; Streptophyta; Bryopsida; Funariales; Funariaceae
Source: RefSeq, a predicted model, not a curated record